UCCAGAGCAGGUCCUUUUCUGAAUGACUCUCCACUACAGCCGUACACCUCAACUCCAUCCACCUCACAGGAUAAGCAGAGGCAUGCCAAGACACUUCAUCUCUCCCUAGACGCAUAGACUAAAUACACUGAGUAACUCUGGUCUAUCAUACUUUUUACACUCUAGUAGCUAGCCAUCGGAGCAGAAGAUUCUCUUGAUUCUCCAUUCAAGCAGAGGGACAAGCCGAAGCCUGAUUUUCUGUCCGUCCUACACCCGAGGUUCCUAAAGCCAAAGGAUACUUGGCUCUUCUCCACAUUAUUGACGUCUGCCCCAGCCUAGGACUCAGUGAUCGAAUAUCUGUAUGAUGACCAUGAGGGUGUGUGCGGUGCUCUAUGCCCUCAUGUUACUGCUGUCACGGACUCUAUCCAAAACACACGUUGGGUAUCCACAGCGCUCCAUGGAGAUAAACGGGUUGUUGUGUGUCUUCUAUUUUUCCUCCGCCAAAAAUAUUUGUGACACUCAGAUCCAGACAGCUAUGCCUCGUGGUACACAGGACGAGGGAUCCGACCAGUAGGACGUUUUGGGCGACGGACGAACGGGAGAAUCCAAAGGCUGGCUCUCGCCACACAUAGUCUGUGUUCCCAACAUGGAAAACGAAGACUGGCGAACGGAUUAAUUACAUCAUGAAACUGUUUUGCCUCUUUCUUUCUCCGUUGUUGUUUGUAUAUUAAGAAGUGACGUGAUUUGAAUAAAAACAUUUAGAAACUA
Molecule: long non-coding RNA, 747 nt
Organism: Salvelinus fontinalis (brook trout)
Lineage: Eukaryota; Metazoa; Chordata; Actinopteri; Salmoniformes; Salmonidae
Exons: 3
Source: RefSeq, a predicted model, not a curated record